Spinacia oleracea (spinach) is the source of this 1052-nucleotide long non-coding RNA. RefSeq lists it as uncharacterized. NCBI's taxonomy places the organism in Eukaryota, Viridiplantae, Streptophyta, Magnoliopsida, Caryophyllales, Amaranthaceae. The record is from RefSeq and is a predicted model, not a curated record. The transcript is spliced from 2 exons.
AUAAACGGUUUUUUCAUGAAAUGCCCCUGAGGUUUGCAAUAAUGCACCAAAUACCCCUGCGCGUUUCAAAAUUCAUAGAAUACCCCUAUUUUUCCGUACUGUUCAUUAAAUGCACCUGUACUUAACGGACGUUAGCCUGCCGUUAGCUGUGUUUUACCAUUCUACCCUUAAUUCAUAUUUGGGGCUAUUAAGGAUGAAAAACCCUAAAGAAAAUCAAAAAAAAAAAAAGAAUCUCAAUCUUCUUCGCUUUCUCUCUCAUCUCCCCUGUUCUUCUUCCUUGAAUUCUACUCAAACGCUACAAAAUCUGGGUGUUCUUUGGGUGAAUUCGGGACAAAAAGGGGAUAUUUGAAGCGAUUUCGAUCUCACCCCCAAUUCAUCAAUGGCAGAUUCACCUCAAAUUACUCAGAAACACAAGGCUCCAUGAGGGUUCGAUCUCACCCCCAAUUCAUCAACAGCCAUUGAUCUUCUUCCAGUGAUUUGGUGGUGCAAGUGGUGGGAAGUCCGACGAAUCCACCAUUGUCGCCGACGAAGGUUGAAGGCUGGCCAAUUCCGCAAACUCCAAGAAGAGGAAGGAACCCGAGAAGUUGCAGAAGGUUGAAGAAGUGGGUCCUGUUUGGUGGGUUGAAACCUCCAAGAACAUCUCCCUUCAUUUUCAAUUCGAUCCAGAUGUUUCUGAUAGUUUUGCUUAUGAGGGUGCAGUACUGAACGAACUAAAGCAGUGGAAGGAGCUCUAUGGAGAAGGAGGGUCAAGAAAUGAGCAACUUACUUACUUCUUAUAGGAAGGUGGUAUGGAGAAGGCGGGUCAAGAAAGAAGGAUCAGUUGUAAGAGAACUCUGAGUCCUCUUUGGCAAUAGAUACAUAUCAUAAGGCACUGAAGGAAGCUUAUGUAAUUUGUAUUUCUUGUUAAACACUUUUGGUGGGCGAGUGGGAAAAAGCGAGUUUUAGAUAUAGAUGCAACGAGGGCUUACAUAUAUCUACUUAUACCGUAUUCUGUAUUAAGAGUUUGCUCAUGUUGUAUAAGAAAAAUAAAGCCUAAUUUAACUUACAAUUAA